UACGUAAGUCCCAAGCGUUACCCGGAAUUAUUGGGUGUAAAGGGUUCGUAGGUGGACCUAUAAGUCAGGUAUGAAAGACCGGAGCUCAACUCCGUGUUUGUGCUUGAAACUGUAGGUCUAGAAUCAGGGAGAGGUUAGCGGAAUUCUUAGUGUAGGGGUGCAAUCCGUAGAUACUAAGAAGAAAACCAAAAGCGAAGGCAGCUAACUGGAACUGUAUUGACACUGAGGAACGAAAGCGUGGGGAGCGAAGAGG
RNAcentral lists this ribosomal RNA (253 nucleotides) under uncultured bacterium. Its description in RNAcentral is "partial 16S ribosomal RNA". It matches the Rfam family "Bacterial small subunit ribosomal RNA", at positions 524 to 776 of the family's 1533-position model. The record is from RNAcentral.